UUUCACCUACGGGGGGCAGCAGUGGGGAAUAUUGCACAAUGGGCGAAAGCCUGAUGCAGCAACGCCGCGUGAAGGAAGACGGUUUUCGGAUUGUAAACUUCUGUUCUUAGUGAAGAAUAAUGACGGUAACUAAGGAGCAAGCCACGGCUAACUACGUGCCAGCAGCCGCGGUAAUACGUAGGUGGCAAGCGUUAUCCGGAAUUACUGGGUGUAAAGGGUGUGUAGGCGGGG
This 231-nucleotide ribosomal RNA is filed under the name uncultured bacterium. Its description in RNAcentral is "partial 16S ribosomal RNA". It matches the Rfam family "Bacterial small subunit ribosomal RNA", at positions 333 to 580 of the family's 1533-position model. The record is from RNAcentral.